UACUGGGCGUAAGCGCGCGUAGGUGGCUUGAUAAGCCGGUUGUGAAGCCCCGGGCUCAACCUGGGAACGGCAUCCGGAACUGUCAGGCUAGAGUGCAGGAGAGGAAGGUAGAAUUCCCGGUGUAGCGGUGAAUGCGUAGAGAUCGGGAGGAAUACCAGUGGCGAAGGCGGCCUUCUGGACUGACACUGACACUGAGGUGCGAAAGCGUGGGUAGCAAACAGGAUUAGAUACCCUGGUAGUCCACGCCGUAAACGAUGUCGACUAGCCGUUGGGUUCUUGAGAACUUUGUGGCGCAGUUAACGCGAUAAGUCGACCGCCUGGGGGAGUACGGCCGCAAGGUUAAACUCAAAUGAAUUGACGGGGCCGCACAAGCGGUGGAGCAUGUUGUUUAUUCGAUGCACGCGAAGAACUUUACCUACCCUUUGACAUCGUGCGAACUUGGUAAGAUACUUGUGGCUCGGGACCACAACAGUCUGCAGGCUGUCUCACUCGGGUGUGAAAGUGGGUAAUCCGUACGGGCAACCUUUUCCUUUUGC
This 536-nucleotide ribosomal RNA is filed under the name Halomonas sp. RNAcentral describes it as "bacterial SSU rRNA". It matches the Rfam family "Bacterial small subunit ribosomal RNA", at positions 552 to 1115 of the family's 1533-position model. The record is from RNAcentral. Lineage: Bacteria; Pseudomonadati; Pseudomonadota; Gammaproteobacteria; Oceanospirillales; Halomonadaceae.